This 494-nucleotide ribosomal RNA is filed under the name uncultured bacterium. Its description in RNAcentral is "partial 16S ribosomal RNA". It matches the Rfam family "Bacterial small subunit ribosomal RNA", at positions 28 to 507 of the family's 1533-position model. The record is from RNAcentral.
GACGAACGCUGGCGGCGCGCUUAACACAUGCAAGUCGAACGGAAAGGCCUGCUUUCCCUUGUGGAUUGCGGGUACUCGAGUGGCGAACGGGUGAGUACCACGUGAGUGAUCUGUUCCCAACUUGGGGAUAAGCCUGGGAAACUGGGUCUAAUUCCCGAUAGUACUGCAGGGUGGAGCCUGUGGUGGAAAACGAUUUUCUAGUGGUUGGGGAUGAGCUCGCGGCCUAUUAGCGUGUUGGUGGGGUAAUGACCUACCAAGGCGGCGACGGGUAGCCGGCGUGUGAUGAUGGACAGCCGCAUUGAGACAGGGAUACGGCCCAGACUGGAGCGGGAGGCAGCAAAGGUGGGUAUAUGAGAGUAGGCGGAAGCCUGACACAGCGACGCCGCGUAGAAGAUGUCGGCCUUCGAAAGGUAAACUCCUUUGGACCGCGAGGAAGCCACCUGGUUGGAGGGGUGGUGACGGUAGUGGAAGAAGAAGCACCGGCUAACUACGUG